GGUGGCUCAGUGGUAGAGCGCUUGCCUAGCAUGCAUGAAGUCCUGGGUUCAAUUCCUCAGCACCA
This 65-nucleotide transfer RNA is filed under the name Dipodomys ordii (Ord's kangaroo rat). It matches the Rfam family "tRNA". From Rfam's summary of the family: Transfer RNA (tRNA) molecules are approximately 80 nucleotides in length. Their secondary structure includes four short double-helical elements and three loops (D, anti-codon, and T loops). Lineage: Eukaryota; Metazoa; Chordata; Mammalia; Rodentia; Heteromyidae. The record is from Rfam by way of RNAcentral.